AUGGACAUCGCCACGCACCGCUGGUCCCGGACCUGCGCCGUGGCCUCCGCCGCGCUGGCGCCCGUGCUCCUCGCCACGACCUGUACCUCGCACAGCCCGGCGGCAACAUCCUCACGCCACCACAACAGCGAUCGCCGCGCUCCCCGCGUCCACCACCACGGACGCCGCCUCGCCCCCCCGCGGGCGCCAGCGCCGCGUGCCGUCGCUAGCCGCGGGGUUCCUGAUGAGCGUGCUCUGGGCGUACACCCUGGCGCGCGAGCUGGUGGCGAUCGGACGGCGGUGUCGGCCUGCUACGCCGGGCCGCUGUUCAACACGGUGGUGGGGCUGGGGCUGUCCCUCACGCUGGCGGCCGGCGCGCAGUACCCGGCGCCGUUCACGCUGCCGGCGGACUCGGCGGUGUACGAGACGGUGGGGUUCCUGUGCGCCGGGCUGGCGUGGGCGCUGGUGGUGGUGCCGGCGAGGGGCAUGCGUCUGGACCGGGUGUACGGGGUGGGCUUCAUCGUCAUCUACCUCGCCUUCUUCGGCGUCCGCGUCCUCGACAGCCUCGGCCUCUGGUUCGGGUAG
RNAcentral lists this ribosomal RNA (564 nucleotides) under Triticum aestivum (bread wheat). RNAcentral's name for it is "partial small subunit ribosomal RNA". The record is from RNAcentral. Lineage: Eukaryota; Viridiplantae; Streptophyta; Magnoliopsida; Poales; Poaceae.